GUUGGAACCACCUGAUCCCUUCCCGAACUCAGAAGUGAAACGACGCAUCGCCGAUGGUAGUGUGGGGUCUCCCCAUGUGAGAGUAGGUCAUCGUCAAGC
Molecule: ribosomal RNA, 99 nt
Filed under: Pseudomonas aeruginosa
Lineage: Bacteria; Pseudomonadati; Pseudomonadota; Gammaproteobacteria; Pseudomonadales; Pseudomonadaceae
Source: RNAcentral